RNAcentral lists this ribosomal RNA (253 nucleotides) under uncultured bacterium. RNAcentral describes it as "partial 16S ribosomal RNA". It matches the Rfam family "Bacterial small subunit ribosomal RNA", at positions 524 to 776 of the family's 1533-position model. The record is from RNAcentral.
UACAGAGGGUGCAAGCGUUAAUCGGAUUUACUGGGCGUAAAGCGUGCGUAGGCGGUUCGCUAAGUCGGUUGUGAAAUCCCUGGGCUUAACCUGGGAACUGCAGUCGAUACUGGCGGACUAGAGUACGGUAGAGGGUGGCGGAACUCCGGGUGUAGCGGUGAAAUGCGUAGAUAUCCGGAAGAACACCGAUGGCGAAGGCAACCACCUGGGCCGGUACUGACGCUGAGGUACGAAAGCGUGGGGAGCAAACAGG